This 363-nucleotide long non-coding RNA is filed under the name Manihot esculenta (cassava). Its description in RNAcentral is "long non-coding RNA (MESC_LNC011229)". The record is from RNAcentral. Lineage: Eukaryota; Viridiplantae; Streptophyta; Magnoliopsida; Malpighiales; Euphorbiaceae.
AUGUAAUUAAUGAACUGUUUUACUGUUCCUCCUCACUGGGCUAUAGAGCUCAUCCCACUCCCUUAACCCCAGUUUUGCAGGUUCUGAGAUAGCUAUGGGAAGUCAAAGUCAGCAAGAGUACAGAGGAAAGUUGUGCUUGAAUGUAUGUUGUAAUAGCGUAGUGGACAUGAUGUAAUUAAAAGAUUAGUUGUAAUGUCAUGUAUAGAUAUGUACUGUCGUAUACUGGAUAGACUUGUGCUUUUCCUAGUAUCAUUGCUAUAGUGUGAUGUAUGAUUAAUCCCCUGUACAUGAAUCCUGUUUUACGUUUCUUGAUGAGAAAUGUGUGAGUUAGGCUUAAUGUAUGGCUUCGAUGAGAUACCAGUG